RNAcentral lists this unclassified non-coding RNA (564 nucleotides) under Penicillium viridicatum. RNAcentral describes it as "sequence contains ITS1 and 5.8S rRNA gene". Lineage: Eukaryota; Fungi; Ascomycota; Eurotiomycetes; Eurotiales; Aspergillaceae. The record is from RNAcentral.
GGGACCUGGGUUCCCUACCUGAUCCGAGGUCACCUGGGAUAAAAAAUUUGGGUUGAUCGGCAAGCGCCGGCCGGGCCUACAGAGCGGGUGACAAAGCCCCAUACGCUCGAGGACCGGACGCGGUGCCGCCGCUGCCUUUCGGGCCCGUCCCCCGGAAUCGGAGGACGGGGCCCAACACACAAGCCGGGCUUGAGGGCAGCAAUGACGCUCGGACAGGCAUGCCCCCCGGAAUACCAGGGGGCGCAAUGUGCGUUCAAAGACUCGAUGAUUCACUGAAUUUGCAAUUCACAUUACGUAUCGCAUUUCGCUGCGUUCUUCAUCGAUGCCGGAACCAAGAGAUCCGUUGUUGAAAGUUUUAAAUAAUUUAUAUUUUCACUCAGACUUCAAUCUUCAGACAGAGUUCGGGGGUGUCUUCGGCGGGCGCGGGCCCGGGGGCGUGAGCCCCCCGGCGGCCAGUAAAGGCGGGCCCGCCGAAGCAACAAGGUAAAAUAAACACGGGUGGGAGGUUGGACCCAAAGGGCCCUCACUCGGUAAUGAUCCUUCCGCAGUCCCCCUUCCGGAAAG